GCAGAUGUGGCGGAAUUGGCAGACGCACUAGAAUCAGAGUCUAGCGCUUUACGGCGUGCAGGUUCGAUUCCUGUCAUCUGCACCA
Molecule: transfer RNA, 85 nt
Filed under: Clostridium sp.
Lineage: Bacteria; Bacillati; Bacillota; Clostridia; Eubacteriales; Clostridiaceae
Description: tRNA-Leu
Rfam family: tRNA
About the family: Transfer RNA (tRNA) molecules are approximately 80 nucleotides in length. Their secondary structure includes four short double-helical elements and three loops (D, anti-codon, and T loops). Further hydrogen bonds mediate the characteristic L-shaped molecular structure. tRNAs have two regions of fundamental functional importance: the anti-codon, which is responsible for specific mRNA codon recognition, and the 3' end, to which the tRNAs corresponding amino acid is attached (by aminoacyl-tRNA synthetases). tRNAs cope with the degeneracy of the genetic code in two manners: having more than one tRNA (with a specific anti-codon) for a particular amino acid; and 'wobble' base-pairing, i.e. permitting non-standard base-pairing at the 3rd anti-codon position.
Source: RNAcentral